RNAcentral lists this ribosomal RNA (496 nucleotides) under uncultured bacterium. Its description in RNAcentral is "partial 16S ribosomal RNA". It matches the Rfam family "Bacterial small subunit ribosomal RNA", at positions 28 to 506 of the family's 1533-position model. The record is from RNAcentral.
GAUGAACGCUGGCGGCGUGCCUAAUACAUGCAAGUCGAGCGAACGGACGAGAAGCUUGCUUCUCUGAUGUUAGCGGCGGACGGGUGAGUAACACGUGGAUAACCUACCUAUAAGACUGGGAUAACUUCGGGAAACCGGAGCUAAUACCGGAUGAUAUUUUGAACCGCAUGGUUCAAAAGUGAAAGACGGUCUUGCUGUCACUUAUAGAUGGAUCCGCGCUGCAUUAGCUAGUUGGUAAGGUAACGGCUUACCAAGGCAACGAUGCAUAGCCGACCUGAGAGGGGGAUCGGCCACACGGGAACUGAGACACGGUCCAGACUCCUACGGGAGGCAGCAGUAGGGAAUCUGCCGCAAGGGGCGAAAGCCUGACGAAGCAACGCCGCGUGAGUGAUGAAGGUCUUCGGUUCGUAAAACUCUGUUAUUAGGGAAGAACAUAUGUGUAAGUAACUGUGCACAUCUUGACGGUACCUAAGCAGAAAGCCACGGCUAACUACGG